RNAcentral lists this long non-coding RNA (280 nucleotides) under Trifolium pratense (red clover). RNAcentral describes it as "long non-coding RNA (TPRA_LNC008500)". The record is from RNAcentral. Lineage: Eukaryota; Viridiplantae; Streptophyta; Magnoliopsida; Fabales; Fabaceae.
GAGUACCAUACACCAAAAUUUAUUUAAUCCAAAAAUCCAAAAUCAUCCAUUAAUAACAUAAAGUUACAAAAUUCUACUUCUACACUAAAAUCAUCAUACUAUAAUAAUAGAGUACCAUACACCUAAUAGCAUAAAUUAUACUUGUAUAUACUAAAAUCAUUCCAUAAUAGUAGAGUUAAUAUCAUAUACCUAGAAUCAUCAAUUAUAAACCAUAAAGUUACAAAUUUAUACUUGUAACCUCGAUUCCUUCUAUUUGUAUGCUUAACUUUGUCUCCNNNNN